Molecule: unclassified non-coding RNA, 330 nt
Filed under: soil metagenome
Description: partial contains 5.8S ribosomal RNA, internal transcribed spacer 2, and large subunit ribosomal RNA
Rfam family: 5.8S ribosomal RNA (bases 1-120)
Source: RNAcentral
GAUGAAGAACGUAGCGAAAUGCGAUAAGUAAUGUGAAUUGCAGAAUUCAGUGAAUCAUCGAAUCUUUGAACGCACAUUGCGCCCCCUGGUAUUCCGGGGGGCAUGCCUGUUCGAGCGUCAUUUCACCACUCAAGCCUCGCUUGGUAUUGGGCAACGCGGUCCGUCGCGUGCCUCAAAUCGACCGGCUGGGUCUUCUGUCCCCUAAGCGUUGUGGAAACUAUUCGCUAAAGGGUGUUCGGGAGGCUACGCCGUAAAACAACCCCAUUUCUAAGGUUGACCUCGGAUCAGGUAGGGAUACCCGCUGAACUUAAGCAUAUCAAUAAGCGGAGA